This 269-nucleotide ribosomal RNA is filed under the name uncultured bacterium. Its description in RNAcentral is "partial 16S ribosomal RNA". It matches the Rfam family "Bacterial small subunit ribosomal RNA", at positions 28 to 296 of the family's 1533-position model. The record is from RNAcentral.
GACGAACGCUGGCGGCGUGCUUAGCACAUGCAAGUCGAGCGGUAAGGCCCUUUCGGGGGUACACGAGCGGCGAACGGGUGAGUAACACGUGGGUGACCUGCCCUCAGCUCUAGGGAUAAGCCUGGGAAACCGGGUCUAAUACCGGAUAUGACUCCAUGACGCGAUGUUGUGGGGUGGAAAGCCUUGUGCGGCUGAGGAUGGGCCCGCGGCCUAUCAGCUUGUUGGUGGGGUGANGGCCUACCAAGGCGACGACGGGUAGCCGGCCUGAG